CUACGGGGUGCUGCAGUGAGGAAUAUUGCACAAUGGGGGGAACCCUGAUGCAGCAACGCCGCGUGGAGGAUGACGCAUUUCGGUGUGUAAACUCCUUUUAUAUGUCAAGAAAAUGACGGUAGCAUAUGAAUAAGCACCGGCUAACUCCGUGCCAGCAGCCGCGGUAAUACGGAGGGUGCAAGCGUUACUCGGAAUCACUGGGCGUAAAGGACGCGUAGGCGGGUUGGAAAGUCAGGUGUGAAAUCCUACAGCUUAACUGUAGAACUGCACUUGAAACUUCUAAUCUAGAGUAUGGGAGGGGGAGAUGGAAUUAGUGGUGUAGGGGUAAAAUCCGUAGAUAUCACUAGGAAUACCUAAAGCGAAGGCGAUCUCCUGGAAUAUACUGACGCUAAGGCGUGAAAGCGUGGGGAGCAAACAGGAUUAGAUCCGCGUAGUC
RNAcentral lists this ribosomal RNA (436 nucleotides) under uncultured bacterium. Its description in RNAcentral is "partial 16S ribosomal RNA". It matches the Rfam family "Bacterial small subunit ribosomal RNA", at positions 339 to 795 of the family's 1533-position model. The record is from RNAcentral.